Molecule: ribosomal RNA, 253 nt
Filed under: uncultured bacterium
Lineage: Bacteria
Description: partial 16S ribosomal RNA
Rfam family: Bacterial small subunit ribosomal RNA
Source: RNAcentral
UACGGGGGGUGCGAGCGUUGUCCGGAAUCACUGGGCGUAAAGGGCGCGUAGGUGGCGUGAUAAGGGUGUGGUGAAAGCCCGGGGCUCAACCCCGGGUCUGCCAUGCCGACUGUCAGGCUCGAGUGCUGUAGGGGCAGGCGGAAUUCCGGGUGUAGCGGUGGAAUGCGUAGAGAUCCGGAGGAACACCGGUGGCGAAGGCGGCAUCCUGGACCAACACUGACGCUGAGGCGCGAAAGCGUGGGGAGCGAACAGG